Molecule: ribosomal RNA, 428 nt
Filed under: uncultured bacterium
Lineage: Bacteria
Description: bacterial SSU rRNA
Rfam family: Archaeal small subunit ribosomal RNA
Source: RNAcentral
UUAGGAAUCAUUUGCAAUGCGCGCAAGCGUGACAAUUUGAGCCAGAGUGUUCCUCAUAGAGGAACUUUUGCCAAAUGUAAAAAGUUUGGCGAAUAAGGACUGGGCAAGACUAGUGCCAGCCGCCGCGGUAAUACUAGCUGUCCGAGUCGCAGCCACAAUUAUUGGGUCUAAAACAUCCGUAGCUUGCUUGAUAAGUUUCUUGUGAAAUCCUGUCUCUCAAGGGCAGGGCGUGCAAGAAGUACUGUUGAGCUAGAGACUGGGAGACGUGAGAAGUACGUUUAAAGUAGUGGUAAAAUACGUUAAUCUUAAGCGGACUAACAAUAGCGAAGGCAUCUCACGAGAACAGUUCUGACAGUAAGGGAUGAAGGCUAGGAGCGCAAAAUGGAUUAGAUACCCAGGUAGUCCCUGAGCGGGCUGGCAAGGCGCAU